Molecule: ribosomal RNA, 253 nt
Filed under: uncultured bacterium
Lineage: Bacteria
Description: partial 16S ribosomal RNA
Rfam family: Bacterial small subunit ribosomal RNA
Source: RNAcentral
UACGAAGGGGGCUAGCGUUGUUCGGAUUUACAGGGCGUAAAGCGCACGUAGGCGGAUCGUUAAGUCGGGGGUGAAAUCCUGGAGCUCAACUCCAGAACUGCCUUCGAUACUGGCGAUCUUGAGUCCGGAAGAGGUGAGUGGAACUCCUAGUGUAGAGGUGGAAUUCGUAGAUAUUAGGAAGAACACCAGUGGCGAAGGCGGCUCACUGGUCCGGUACUGACGCUGAGGUGCGAAAGCGUGGGGAGCGAACAGG